This 73-nucleotide transfer RNA is filed under the name Floydiella terrestris. Its description in RNAcentral is "tRNA-Ala". It matches the Rfam family "tRNA". From Rfam's summary of the family: Transfer RNA (tRNA) molecules are approximately 80 nucleotides in length. Lineage: Eukaryota; Viridiplantae; Chlorophyta; Chlorophyceae; Chaetopeltidales; Chaetopeltidaceae. RNAcentral also lists the same sequence under 1 other name. The record is from RNAcentral.
GGGAGUAUAGCUCAGUUGGUAGAGCGCUGCCUUUGCAAGGCUGAUGCCAGCGGUUCGAGUCCGCUUACUUCCA